This 450-nucleotide ribosomal RNA is filed under the name uncultured bacterium. Its description in RNAcentral is "partial 16S ribosomal RNA". It matches the Rfam family "Bacterial small subunit ribosomal RNA", at positions 354 to 796 of the family's 1533-position model. The record is from RNAcentral.
GUGGGGAAUAUUGGACAAUGGGCGAAAGCCUGAUCCAGCCAUGCCGCGUGUGUGAAGAAGGUCUUCGGAUUGUAAAGCACUUUAAGUUGGGAGGAAGGGCAGUAAGUUAAUACCUUGCUGUUUUGACGUUACCGUCAGAAUAAGCACCGGCUAACUUCGUGCCAGCAGCCGCGGUAAUACGAAGGGUGCAAGCGUUAAUCGGAAUUACUGGGCGUAAAGCGCGCGUAGGUGGUUUUGUAAGUUGGAGGUGAAAUCCCCGGGCUCAACCUGGGAACUGCCUCCAAAACUGCAUGACUAGAGUACGGUAGAGGGUAGUGGAAUUUCCUGUGUAGCGGUGAAAUGCGCAGAUAUAGGAAGGAACACCAGUGGCGAAGGCGACUACCUGGACUGAUACUGACACUGAGGUGCGAAAGCGUGGGGAGCAAACAGGAUUAGAAACCCUAGUAGUCC